GGCAGGCUUAACACAUGCAAGUCGAACGCCCCGCAGGGAGUGGCAGACGGGUGAGUAACGCGUGGGAAUCUACCGUGCCCUGCGGAAUAGCUCCGGGAAACUGGAAUUAAUACCGCAUACGNCCUACGGGGGAAAGAUUUAUCGGGGUAUGAUGAGCCCGCGUUGGAUUAGCUAGUUGGUGGGGUAAAGGCCUACCAAGGCGACGAUCCAUAGCUGGUCUGAGAGGAUGAUCAGCCACAUUGGGACUGAGACACGGCCCAAACUCCUACGGGAGGCAGCAGUGGGGAAUAUUGGACAAUGGGCGCAAGCCUGAUCCANCCAUGCCGCGUGAGUGAUGAAGGCCUUAGGGUUGUAAAGCUCUUUCACCGGAGAAGAUA
RNAcentral lists this ribosomal RNA (377 nucleotides) under Rhizobiaceae bacterium CaAH23. RNAcentral describes it as "bacterial SSU rRNA". It matches the Rfam family "Bacterial small subunit ribosomal RNA", at positions 41 to 450 of the family's 1533-position model. The record is from RNAcentral. Lineage: Bacteria; Pseudomonadati; Pseudomonadota; Alphaproteobacteria; Hyphomicrobiales; Rhizobiaceae.